This 531-nucleotide unclassified non-coding RNA is filed under the name Hevea brasiliensis (rubber tree). Lineage: Eukaryota; Viridiplantae; Streptophyta; Magnoliopsida; Malpighiales; Euphorbiaceae. The record is from RNAcentral.
GUCGUAGUCGCGCUCCAGCUGCUUUGUCUUCCAACGGGCGCGGCGGUUCUGAAACCAAACCGCCACCUGCCGCGGCUGGAGUCCCAGCUUGCGUGCCAGCUCGCUCUUCCGAUCCGGCUCCAGCUUGUUCUCCGACUCGAAACUCAGCUCCAGCAAGUGCACCUGCUCGGGAGUGAGGCGGCGCUUCUUCUCCGGCGUCUGCUCAUCGUAAUAUUCCUCCUCCAUCAAAUCAUCGGCCAUCGUAAAAAACGGCCGCCGCUUAUUCCCUCCGUCCUCCACCCCCAGCAGCGAUCUCGACCCUUGAAAGAUCGAGCUCCUGCCGCCGAGCAAAAGCAUGUGUCCGCCGCCACGGUGGCGCGAGGGCGACGAAUCAAAGAUCAGCCGGCCGGAAUCCAUGAAACUCGGAGCGAUCGUGAACCGAUAUAGAUCUCGACUCUCCCCUACUAUAGAAAUCGAUACUGAAUCGUAAAUUUGUAUAUAUGAAUCUAUAGAUAGAUCGAUGAAUGGGAAGAGAUCUCUAUCAGAAGAAGA